CUCAGGACGAACGCUGGCGGCGUGCCUAAUACAUGCAAGUCGAGCGGACAGAUGGGAGCUUGCUCCCUGAUGUUAGCGGCGGACGGGUGAGUAACACGUGGGUAACCUGCCUGUAAGACUGGGAUAACUCCGGGAAACCGGGGCUAAUACCGGAUGCUUGUUUGAACCGCAUGGUUCAAACAUAAAAGGUGGCUUCGGCUACCACUUACAGAUGGACCCGCGGCGCAUUAGCUAGUUGGUGAGGUAAUGGCUCACCAAGGCAACGAUGCGUAGCCGACCUGAGAGGGUGAUCGGCCACACUGGGACUGAGACACGGCCCAGACUCCUACGGGAGGCAGCAGUAGGGAAUCUUCCGCAAUGGACGAAAGUCUGACGGAGCAACGCCGCGUGAGUGAUGAAGGUUUUCGGAUCGUAAAGCUCUGUUGUUAGGGAAGAACAAGUACCGUUCGAAUAGGGCGGUACCUUGACGGUACCUAACCAGAAAGCCACGGCUAACUACGUGCCAGCAGCCGCGGUAAUACGUAGGUGGCAAGCGUUGUCCGGAAUUAUUGGGCGUAAAGGGCUCGCAGGCGGUUCCUUAAGUCUGAUGUGAAAGCCCCCGGCUCAACCGGGGAGGGUCAUUGGAAACUGGGGAACUUGAGUGCAGAAGAGGAGAGUGGAAUUCCACGUGUAGCGGUGAAAUGCGUAGAGAUGUGGAGGAACACCAGUGGCGAAGGCGACUCUCUGGUCUGUAACUGACGCUGAGGAGCGAAAGCGUGGGGAGCGAACAGGAUUAGAUACCCUGGUAGUCCACGCCGUAAACGAUGAGUGCUAAGUGUUAGGGGGUUUCCGCCCCUUAGUGCUGCAGCUAACGCAUUAAGCACUCCGCCUGGG
Molecule: ribosomal RNA, 873 nt
Filed under: Bacillus halotolerans
Lineage: Bacteria; Bacillati; Bacillota; Bacilli; Caryophanales; Bacillaceae
Description: bacterial SSU rRNA
Rfam family: Bacterial small subunit ribosomal RNA
Source: RNAcentral